AUGGUUUUAAAUCGCAGGCAGCCUCACUUAACCCACCGCACAGUCAUUCAUCAGCAAGCUCUACCGUGGAUCGAUGUUGCUCUAACCCCAGAGGUCGACCUGUCGCACAUACAGCGAGACAUGAUCAGUAGCAGCAGCGUCUAUGGUAGGUUCUUUUUUUCCCAAUCUUUCAUUUGAUGAACUGUUGUUGUUAUUUAUUAAAUUGUGGUUGUUUUGACCGUGCUUGUUUUCAAGCAUGCGUUUUGUGUCAGUUUCUUUAAAACAAUGUCAGGAAAUAUUACUGAUGUACGAUGAGAUAUGUUGCAUGCGUGUACAUUGUUUUGUGAGAGUUUAGCAAUGUAGGCCUACAUGUUGAUUUUUCCACGCUAUUAGGUCUAUCAUCUUCAGGCUUGUGUCCAAGUUAAAACGAUUCAAAUAUCAAAAUGAUUUUGCAUCAUACUCCAUCUUGGCCGAAUUGUUGCCACUCUCGGAAAACAAAUGAUUACUAUAGUAUACCUAAUGGAAUAUGCCUCGCAUCAGAUGGUCGCGGUGAAUGCAAACGGACCCUUGACGUCUGUCUUCUGUGCUGGUUUUGAAUGCACAUCACUAUGACGCCGAUAUGUUUUCUGAAUUGCUGCACCCAGAACCCCUUUCACACGCUGUGCUUGGGCAAUAGUAGGCUAACAGGAAUGUCUCCCAGGUCCACUUGUUUUGUCGGCUAUAUUCAGCAUAUAUUAGUCUGCUUAAAUGAUGACUAAUAUACCGGUACACGUGUUAUACUAAUCUUCAAACGUUGUUAUUAUGGAUAUACUACUAGUAAAUGAGUAUAAUCAAAUUAUUAGGAGAAUAGACUGUAAGGUUAGCUUUUGUUAGUCUCAGGUGUGGCAAACAAUCUGUAAUGUAAACACAAUAUAUCAGUCAUUUAUCAGUAAUUUGUUUUAAUAGAAUGUUUCUUGUACCAGAAACCUAC
Molecule: long non-coding RNA, 949 nt
Filed under: Oncorhynchus mykiss (rainbow trout)
Lineage: Eukaryota; Metazoa; Chordata; Actinopteri; Salmoniformes; Salmonidae
Description: lncRNA (ENSOMYG00000069290.1)
Source: RNAcentral